AAAAAAAAAAAAGUAAGGGACAUAUCUGGCACAAGUAUCAGGAGAUAUUCUAAUGAGCAUGGGGCUUGCUCAAGUUAAUAACAACACACUCAAGGAAACCAUUCUGGUAGUCAUCUAUAAAAAACAAAAAUAAACAAAAAAUAAACACACAUUGGAACAGAAACUGCUAUGAGGAAUUAACCAAGUCAAAUCAGCUCCUUCAUUUUUGCCUUUUUUUUAACAAUAAUGAAUUUAUUAAAGAGCAGAAGAUAUGGCAAAAGGUAAGCAAGCAAGACAACAAAGGGUGGACCCUUGGUAAGCCAUCUGCCAAAGCAAUAAAGUUCCAAGCAUAGGUAAGGAAACAGGAAAAAUAUUAUACUAGAUAUAUAAGAUUUAUGAAUAUCUAUGGGAUCAUGACACCUGAAGCUAUUUGUGUACCAUACGUUCCUAAGAUUAACCAAGCAAUAGAUUUGUGAUCCCACAGAUGCUGGCAUGCUCAGUGGGUGGCAUCUCACUUGUAAGUGUGAAAAUAAGAUGUCAAAAGAGAGGAUGAGAGAAAACAAUCUUUCAUAUUCUCUAAGAGAAUAUUUAAAAAAGAUUUAUUGAUAACCACUUGGCAACCGCUUAUUUCAUAGUUUGCUCCCCUCCUUGCCAACCAAUUACAAGAAAGCUUCUUUCAAUCUCUUUGGAUGAGCGGUUACUCCCAUCUUUGAAGAACAAUUUCGUAGUUUUUCUAAAAACUAUCUGUAAAACCUGCUUGAGAAUUUACCAAUUACAAGAAAGCUUCUUUUAAUCUCUUUGGAUAAGUAGUUACUCCCAUUUUUGAAGAACAAUUUCAUAGUUUUUCAAACCACUAAAAGCUGUAAGAACCUGCUUGAGAAUUUAGGAUCAUAACACAGCAAGAGCCAUUAGAUUCCAAGUGUUGCUUAUACAACUGUGAGAUCAUAAGUUGCUUCCAUUAGAUUGUAAAUAUGGUUUCUAAACCAUCAUAUUGUAAGUGAACUUGUUAUAGCCUUUAGAUUACAAGAUUCAUGCUAUUGAUUCAACAAAAUCAAUUGGAUCAUAAGUAAAGCCUUCAGUAAAUGUAGGAUGAUAAGUUUCAUCCAAUAAAUAAACCAGAUAAAUAAAUUGGUCCAUUAAUUAAUCCACAGGGCUUGUAGAACCGCAUUGUUCCAUUGAUUGAUCCCGCAGGGCUUUUAGAGCUAUUUGAUCAUAGGUUACCAAUUAAAUGAACCAAACAGCUUUAUGUGGUCCAUUGAUUGAUCUGCAAGGCUUUUAGAACCAUUAGAUCGUCAAUGGCUUUAGUUAAAUAAACCAAAUGACUUGAUCUGGUCCAUUGAUUAAGAGCUUUUAGAGUCAUUGAGUCAUGAAUUUAGUUAAAUAAACCAAACAACUUAAUCUGAUCCAUUGAUUGAUCCGCAUGGUUUUCAUAAGUUAUUUUAAAUAGAUGGAUCACACAAAUUUAUCUAGUCCAUCCAUUGACCCAUAAGGCUUUCAGACCCAUCAAAUCAUAAGUUCCUUUUGUCAGUUAAUGGUAAUAUGGCCUAAUGUGCCUCCUUCAUCCAUCAAUAUAGGGAUUUUUUUUAAGUCAACGGGUUAUAUGUUUCAUCUAUUAAAAUAAAUAAAGCUAUUGAAUUCACGCCAUCUAUUCGUUAGAAAGAUCCUAAUGACUCUGCCUCCUUCAUCCAUCAAUAUAGGGAUUUUUUUUAAGUCAACGGGUUAUAUGUUUCAUCUAUUAAAAUAAAUAAAGCUAUUGAAUUCAAGCCAUUUAUUCAUUAGAAAGAUCCUAAUGACCAUUGGAUGAUUAGUUUCGUAUAUACGAAGAUUAGAUAUAAAUCCAAACCAUCUAUAUCAUCACAGCAGUUGGAUUUCAUGAAUCUGGUUACCAAAUCAUCCCAAACAAUAACAUUUCCAAAAUGUCACAUGUUAGUGGUGCUAACAGCCUAUUAGUUAAUGUUGUUGAUAAAUACUGAACGUUUAACAGUAGAUUAGGUUUAAAAUCAUUUUAAAAUCAAAGCACAAUGAAUCAAAGAUAGUCAAAUUAAAUUUCAAACUGCCUCUGGCCCUCUAUCAUUAUUCACAAACCAUCUCGAAUUGAAUGAUUUGGGGCAUGCCAAACUGUACCGGCAACCUAUCGGUAUGGUUUAGACGGUCGAUUCGGAACACUGGCGAAAAGUAAUCGAGGGAGAAGGAAAGAGAGGAAGAGAGAGAGGGGGAAGGGAAGGAGAGGAAAAAGCUGGUGGUGGCCCACCGAGGUUACCGGAGGACCGCCGAGGCCUCCAGAACUUUGCCCUCCUCCAAGAGAGAAUAAAGAGAGAUAAAGAGAGGGGAAGGAGGAAAAUGGAUAGAGGGGAAGGCAGUGGGGAGGCCACUGAGGCCCCCAAACGAUCGAAAUCGACUCCAUGGUAUCUAUGAGGUCGAAACAAGAGCAACCCGCCCCUAUUUCAUGGCAAUUUUUUUUUCUUUUGUGUGAUGUACAAUGAAGUCAGCAAUCCUCUUGGCAACCCUCUAAUGGCCUCCCCACCGCCUUCCCCUCUGUCCAUUUCACUCCCUCCCCCCCUCUCUCUAUUUUCCUCUCUCGGAGGACAGAGCCCCGAAGGCCUCAAUGACCCUCUGAGAGCCUCCACGACCCACUAGUGGCCAUUGCCGGUGUCUCUACCAGCCUUCCUUUCCUUCCCUCCCUCCCCCCCCCCCAAUCUUUUCCUCUCCGGUUCUCCCUUCCCUCGCUUUCAUUUUUGUAUCAGUUCGGACCCCAUAUGAUCCGAUACGGGGGCAUACCGACCUAUACCGCCGUCUGGCCGGCAUGGGGUUUGGUUCCGAAUCAGCAAACCUUGGCCUCUAUAUUUAGAUCUUAAGAUAUUGAUCCCAAGAAACUGCAGAGCAUGUACCAGAAGAUUUCUUAAGUCAAGUAUCAUGCAUAUCUCUGGGAUUGGUCAAGUUGCUGGUGGGUGCAAACCUUGUCAGAAAUGGAUGAAAUCUAAGCCUACCCAACUCAUGUAACACCAAAGCCUUGAUAACUGCUCCAAUUUUUUUUUCUUAAUAGCAUGAAAGAAAAUUGUAGAAUCACAAGAUUUUAACUUUGUAGGUAAAUGAUUUGAGUAAUUACUGAGAAUGGAACCAAAAAGAUUGACAUGAUUUUGAAUUCCUGAUACUGUUGAGAGAGAAACUCAACCCAGGUUUCUAGUUGGUCAAUGGCUAUGACAUGAAUCCUUCAGUGCGACAGUGCACAAAAUUAGCUUAUGACUUGUCAAAAGAAAAACUUAUCAAGACAAACAGACAUUGUGCAAUGGUUGAAGCACAUAGAAAGUAGCUUAAGUGCGUUUCUUAUUGGAAAGCAGAAACUCCAGAAAAGAUUAAAAGCUUCUCCUGGCUAUAAUCAAAAACAAAAUCCAUGCUAAGGAAAAUAAGAAAUUAUGGCCAGAAAAGGAUGAGUUAUCCCAAGUGGUUUUUUCUGUGACUAUCCUGAGAAAACUUGUGGGACAUCAUCUUCUGGACUGUAGGAUUGUUACAAGAUUGCUGAAACUCAAACUUGGGGUCCAAGGUCAUGCUCCAUCCCUCCUCUAAUUAUGGACUGAGUGGAGAAGAAGAGUUCCAACUGCCUAACCCUAUUGCACUUGGUUGGGAUCAACUGGUUCUGGCUACUUGUUGGUGCGUGCAGAGGGAGAAAUAGCAGCAUUUGCUUGAGCAGAAAGCAUCAAAGAAUCACCUUCCCAAAUUUUUGAAGAGUAUUAUCAGCUUAGCCAAUGAAUGGAAGAACUGCUGUAACUCUAAGAACCUACUAAGCUUUGAGAGGGUUAUUCAGCUAUUAGAGGUGUAACGUGGUGAUACUUUUCUACCUCCCCAUGGGGUUUGUUGUAUUCUUUUUAUUCUUUAAUAAAUAGUGGACUUUGGCCCUCCUUUUUCCUUCCCAAAAAGCAGAAAAAAAAAAAAGACAACAAGUUGCUUAUGCUCAACCAUGUACAAACAAACCAAAGAACAAUUAACCAAUCCACACUUGUGAAUAGAAACUUAUGCAUGAUUCAUUUCUUGCUAUGGAUGGUUACUUUGGCACUAAAAGAAUCUGCGACAAAAUUCUGCCAUAAUGUUUUUAAGCAUAAAUAAAAUUUAAAGUACAGUAACAAAAGAGACCAGUUUACGUUUUGCAUGCCUUGUAUUUAGUCUUAUACAAUGUUUAAAAAUAGAUGCAACAUGGGCCAUUCAUGCAGUUGCUUAAGCAAAGCGCAUCUCUAGACAGGUGAGCUACACCAUAAUGAAAUUCUUACCUUUCCGAUUCAAAAAUCCAGCAUGUUUCUUAAGCAGCUCUCUUGACUUGCAUGCAAGCCUCUCCUUCAAACUUAACUAGUAACUACCAUUUCGAAUUAACUAUCAAUAGUCAUUAGAUUUAUAAACAUAAUAAGUUGACAACAUUGAUGGAAUUGUUUCUCUUGCAACACUAAACAUAUUACACAAAAAUCUCUCAAUAUCUAAGCAUGUUAUUCAUCUCAUAGACAUGUUAUAUACCUCAAUGCAAAACAAACUUCAAAGCACUUAAUUGUUUCUCAUUUCUCAAGCUCUGUAGCACCGGAACCGGCACCCAUGCUGGUAGGCCAGCAGUAUGGUACGGUAUGAUAUUGUGCCAUGGCGUUCUAGCAUGUACCGAUGAACGAAAACCAGAGAAGGAGAAGGAAAGAGGGAAAAAGAGAGAGAGGAGGGCAUGGGAGAGGAAGGGAGGGAGCGAGAGAGAGAGGGAGAGAAAGAGAGGGCUUUAGAGACCCCUCUCCUCUGACACUGUGUAACAAGGACUCCACCCAUGCUAUGUUUAGAGAGAGGGAGAGGGAGGGAAGGGGGGAGAGAGGUGGACGAAGUCCUCCAACUCCACUAUUUUGAAUGAAACAGGCGCCAAGAGCCUUUUUUCAUUUUUCGAAGACUUAAGUGAAGUCGGCAAGCCAUGUUGGCUUCACUUAAGUCUUCAAAAAUUAAAAAGGGGUCUCCGACCCUUGCUUCAUUCGAAAUAGGGGAGUUGGAAGCCUCUCUCUCUCUCUCGCCCCACCCCCCCCCUUCCUUUCCUUUUUCUCCCUCCNNNNNNNNNNNNNNNNNNNNCUCUCUCUCUCUCGCCACCCCCCCCCCCUCCUCCUUUUUUUCUCCCUCUCCCCCUCCCUCGUUGGUUUCUCGAACUAAGGGGUGGAACCAUGCUGGUCUGCCCCAAUAUGGCUCAAUAUGGCCCAAACUGGAUACCACCUUGACUCCACUAGACAAAGGCAACAAUUUUUGUAAUCAUAUAAUAUAUAUCAAUAUAUUUAUCUUUCUUUGUAUCUACAUAUCAUAUCUUCUAGGCAAGCAGCUUACAUCUUUAAUAUUUCAACUAAUAAUUAACAUGGUUGACAAAAAAGACAACACCAAAUGAGCUUCGAGAACUAGGAUAUUAUAAUAGUCAAAAAGGAAAUUGCAUUAACCAAGAAUUUGACUAGAUAUAGGAUAUUUACCAGCAAAAUUGCUUCCACACUUGUACGCAUACCUUCUUUCAUGUAACUGCCAUCCAAAACAAAGAGGAAUCAAAUGUCAACCACAUAGAAGCAACAUUCUUAAUCCUUCCCAUAUCCAAAUUGUCUUGUCAACAAUAUGAGGUUUCAGCCAACAUCAACUUCUACAACAUUUGGGUAAAUAAAAAAGAAACCUAUCUCAGUAAAGGAGUGUCUGGACCAGAAAAAUCAUAUUUAAUGUACUAUGGCCAUAUAUUGGGUACUUAAAUUAUUCAAUAAGCACAGAAUUUUAUUUUAUCAAAAAAAUCUACUUUGAUUAGAAGUUCACGAGUUCUAUAAAAAUUCUAUGCCUUAGUCAUCUUCAAUUACUAGCUGCAAGCAAACAACUAGCUUCCAAAGAGUCUCAACUUCUCAAUAUCCUAUACUCUUUGAGCUCAAUUCUGCAUCCCAAAUUAUUAGUUUCAACAAAUACCAAAAGAAAAAUCACCAAUUUUGUUGUCUAAAUAAGCAACAAGUUAUUUUUUGUCAAUAAAUGAAAACGACAUGAUGGGGCCAUGAGCUCUAUUAUUUAGCCAUGGCAUCUCUCCAGCUUCGUCAACCGCCACACUUAAGAAUAUGCAAUAUGUUUUACAUAACAAUCCUACAAGAACAAGCAUUUAAAAGAUGUCAUUGUUAACCUACAAGCUUAGGCAAUUAACAGAAUUUGAAAAAUUUAACCUACUACAUGACACAACUAACAGCAUCUUAUGUAUGCAUAUGCUGUUCUAAACAACAGAUCGACACAUACUGAUAUGGUUGUAACACAGAAACACAAAAGCAUAGAAAAAAAUCAGAGAGUUAACAGGAAACAAAAUUGGGCGAGUCUGAAUAUGCUCAAGAAAGACUAAUAAAAACAAUGUUCUAUAUGCCAAUGGAAAAGCAUGGCAUCCCACAAUCACAAGUGUCGAGAUAGGAUGCAUCAGGAAAUGGACUAGAAUAGGAUGAGACAUCAACCUCCACAGUGUUGGUACAUGAGGCAUCCCAUUCCAUGGAAAACUGGGAAGGCCCCCAUCCCAAACUAUUUAAAACGUUGUGUAAAAAAGGAAAAAAAGAAAGAAAGAAAAAAAAAGUUAAUACUAGCGUCAUAAGACUAUAAUGAAAAACAAUAAUGCAUAUCAGCAUAAGCUAAAGCGAAGCAACGGAGGAAGGUGUAAACACACUUGAUAUCAUCAAAUAUAAGCAGCUACUACAUGGUUCCAAUUCCCAUAUGAAAGCCCUUAUUCCAAUGUAACUUCCCCCUUCAUCACAUUAAUUUUGGAUUUUUGGAAAUCGGGAAGCAAGGGAUGCCAACAAACAUGCAUCUACUUCAUUUAAAUAUGAAAUUCCUAAUUUUACUUUUUUUUUGGGUAACUAAAUUAAAAAAAAAAAAACUUUAGAGGAAGAGGGAACAACAUUCAAUCAAAAGUCAGAUACUAUAAAGGCUUAAGUGCCUGCUAAGCUACACAGCAAAACUCAUUAUAAUUAUAAGGCAAUUCUAGGCCUCUUUAGUUAAAGAUCUCAACAACGCAACCAUAUAUUCUAACUUGAAUGAGUGCAAGAUUAACAAGGCCAGCUAGUGAAAAACUUAAAGAGAUUUUUUUUCUUUUUUCUCCACAGAUUACAGGUUUUAAGGAUCACAGGUGCCAAGCAUAGCAAAUAAUAAGUUUAGCAUUGCAUAGCUCAAUAUCAAACAGUAGAUAACAGUAACACAUUUAGAUAACAGCAAUAGAAGUAUAAGCUAUUGUAUCACAACAUGGGAGGAGAAUGAGAGCAAUUUUAAGUACUGGACUAAGGAAAGGAUUCUACAAAGUCAAAGAAAAUAUGAGACCAUGAAGCCCUAUGAUGCUAGGAGAAUAGCAUUAAGAGGCAUCAUCCUCUUAAAAUUAGAGGAAAGGGCAAUGAUUUUGCUCCAGGUCCUUUGCUCAAGUAAGAGCAAUAAAAUUUAUUAUAUUAACUGACUACUAUAUAGAGCUAGAGGGCCCUCAUAGGUAUUCUUCUAAACUUAUAAUAUGUUUUUCAAAGAAAAGAUUAAACUACCAUUACUUUCCCCAUCCAUCACUUUGAAAUCAGUUCCCCUCUCUCGUUGGUAGUUGUCUCGUUCAUCCAAACGUCGUGGGGCUUCCUCCUGCCAAGGCUCCACCUCUUCCAUCACUUCCUUUUUGACCAGCUCCUCAAGCCUUUCCGCUCAAUGGCCCACCAUCAUCAUCAACAACUAUUAUGGCUCCCCACCAAAGACUUCUACCACUCAACCCAGUAUAUAUUAGAUUUCAUUGUCGUCGCCCUACCUUAAUUCCAGCCCAUCGUCCCCCAUCAUUCACCUCUACAAGGCCCAACAGUUGACUCAUCCCAUUUCCUGCCCUGCCUCCCACACCGGCAACUCCUUCCAAGGUAUCCCCUCCAACGGACCUCUUGCACCAUCAAAUGCCCUCGCUCAACCACCAUGUCCCCAUAUAGCAACUGCUACUCUGCCACCAAGCACCAUUUCUUCGAUUCCUCCUUCUAAUGCUGCCACUACCAUGUUAUCCACUCCUUAUACUUCUCCCACCUCCUCGGCAAGGAUGCAUGGCUUCGAUUCAAGGCUAUCGAAUGCUACCUCUAUGCCAAUUAUACCACCGAGAGUGAUAAGCAUACCACCUUUUUCCUCCAUCCUGUUUGCACAACCCUUUGGAGGGUGACCACAACCAAUCAUAACAUUUGGUGGUUGCCUAUUCCUUUAUCUUGUGGCUUUCUUUUCCUAUAUCAAAUCAAGUAAACCAAUAUAGUCUUUUGAUGUAGGUGGAGAUAGAAGGAUAUAACAAAAAAAUUGGUAAGGUGCAGAGAGCGAAAGAGAGAGAGAAAGAAGUGAUGGAUGGAAAGGAAGAGUAAUUUAAGGAUUGGAAAAACAAAAAUCAACCUUUUUCUUUGGAGGGCUACAAUAGUCCAUUUACAUAAGACAAAAUAUGGUGGCUCGAGAAAAGUGAAAUAGAUCUCUAGCAAUACGAACCCCUUUUGGAUUACAUGGAAAUUCUAGUCUAGCAAAAAACAAAGUCAAAGAGUCAAAUUCCAGGGCCUGGUUGGCAAAGACAAAUUUAUAACUCUACAAAUGAUAUGGAAGAAAGGCAAUCAAAUGCUGGAGAUUCAGACUAUCAGAAAAAAUUGUCUAUUUUUCUGAUACACCACAACCGUGCCUUACUGGUUGCCGAGUUUUGUAAUAAAUUAUGUGAUUCAUAAAAUUCUUUUAAUUCAUAAAAACUGAAAAACAAGCUCUAUUGCAAACAAGGCCCACAAGAUUUUUUAUUGUAGGCUUUCAGAAAACUUAAAAGCCUACCUAAGAACCAUCUACAAAUAUCAUGGCUAAGGAAUUACAUAUUCACGUAGACAAAUCAAUACAACAAGAAAAUUCAUAAUCCAAUCACAGUUCAAGAGACACCCAUUUUUUUUUUCAAAUUACAGCUAUAAUGGAAUGAACAAACAGCUAAUUUUUCACAUGCACAUCAAGCCACGUAUAAUUGGCUAAAACGGAUUCCCACCAUGUGACAACACUAAUCCAUAGGUUCAAAUCCAUACAUAAGAACGAAAAACACACUACGUACAUUCUGUAGAAUUUUUUUUUUUCAAUAUAUUGCACACCUGAUAAUUCCUUAUCGCAGGCUAACGCGUUUAUUAACAUUUUUAAGAAGUCAAAAAACAAACGAUUUUGAUUCUAGAUUCUCUGUCUCCAAGCCCAAACGUUUCGAUCUUUAUUGAAAAUCCACAAAAAAAAAUAGCAACUGAAUUCAUUCACGUCCCCAUUUUCUCCAAAUUAGAAAGAAAUAAUAGAAAAAAAGGGGAAAACCAAAUCAAGUUAGGUUUUUCGGAGUCCUUUCGAUCUAGGGUUUUAGGGAAUGGAAAGGGGCCCACUUGACUUUCAUACGAGCGAGGCGAUCGGCGACGGAGGUGUCCUUCUCCAUCUUCGGCUCCUUCGUCCCGAACGUAUAGCUCGACAGCGGGUAUGUGUUCACCACCGGCAACACUCCCAUCUUUCGCCCGCUCUUCGCCCCUCCCUCCCUCCUUCCCUCUCUCUCUCUCUCUCUCUGUCUCUCUCAGCGGACGGCGGAACGCCGGAAAGAAGUCCAAAGGAAGCGCUUUGAGCUGUUGUUCACGGAAAUGGGCAUCGUGGAGUCAUGUGUAAAAUUACUAUUUGACUCCGACACAUUUAAUACAAUGACGGUUGAGUCCCUGACUGCACACACUUAAAGCGGAGAAAACCGGAACUUGGGAAAGGCAACAGUGCUAUUAUUACUAGCCUAUAAUUAGAUUCUCAAUUAAAGUAGAAAGGUUGCUCUCAAUCUGAGCCGCCGGUCUGUCCUUCUUGUCAAACUUGCAAUCCUUGGCCAUAUGGUUAAUCCUACCACAAGAAAAAUAAUAGAUUGGUACAUGUCCAUAGGUGAAUUGCUGCUAGAACUUCCUCUUUACUUCAACGUCAAUACGAACCACUAGAGGUUCAUCAAGGUUCACCAAAACACAAGCGGUUGCAUAGUCCCGUUUCAACAAAGGUUAUUAAGCUACAAUGGUUUGUUUCCUUAUUGGGCAACCACCCAAAGGAUGACAUCUCUUUUCCAGUAUUCCAACAAGAGGUGAAAUGGUACAUCCAAAUAGUAGCUAAGUUGAUGGAAGGACGGGGGUUGUAUCUUCUUCUUCUUUCCUAUGAAUCUCCCGGUGGAUCGUGGAAUGGCCACUUUGAGUUCUAUACAUGUAAAUAGAUGAAGAAGUUUGGAAUGCUUUGAGAUCUAUAUAGAAUGUGAUUCAAUAAUUAAUAUCGUGAAAAAAGAUCAAUCAUUCCUUGAUACAACCUGAACUCUGAUUGAAGAUGACACCUUAAAUCAGAGUUUUUAUCACGGUGAACUAAAGCCCUGACCUCUUGCAAUGCAAGGAUCAGAUGCACCAACUUCCAUCACAUUAAUCUCUGUUCUAAAGCGGAAGAGAUGGGGGUUCCCACAUAGGAUUCAUCAACGUCUUCACCAAAUAAUCAUCUUUUGAUAUCCUCCUAAACAAGGCAAGCCACAAAUCCUUUCUCUGGUGUUGAAGCUUCUCAUGGUCCAACUUGAUAAUAUAAUUAAACGCAGAGCAGAACUCAUCUCCACGUCUUUUAACUUCCCAAGUAACCCGUCUUGAGUUCUCUCUAGCAACGCUAGCCCAAGAUCUUUUGUUCCUGAGGAGGGUAACCUAUAUCACACUCGCCAUCUACUAAUGCUAUCAGAAUGGUGGACAGGGAGGACUAAGUUCAGCUAGCGUUCCCAGAUUAGAAACCAUCGCCACCUCGCUGUUGUACAGGAACCAAGCCAAGCAAUCAAAUAUUCGAAUAGAGAAGCUAGAAUAAAAACAACCCAAAGAGAGACUGUGACUAGAAACUAAAGUAAUCAAACACUAAACAAGAUAGAAUUCCUUUCAGCAGGCAUGAAGAGUCCACAGUGAUUGAACACCAGAGGAACAGCCAACACCCAUAGAGCUCAGUUUGAGAAGAUCUGGGAUUAGUCCAAGCUUGAAUGCACCUUUCGAAUCGUUGCUCAGACCUUGCCAACAUCAGCAAGCUCUUUUUGAUUUCAUAGGAGGGACCAGUCAUUGAAAAGAUAAAUUCCUUUUGAGUGUAAUGAAAGCAAUAGUGCUUUUAUGAAGAUUUUUGCAUUCCUUUCCUUCCAGCAACACCAUAAUAUGGCAGCAAUGAGCAUAAGAAUUGCAGCGUGCAUAUCCUUGUAAAAAUGACAUGACAUGGCGUUUCUUCCAAGUUGUUGGAAAGAUUUUCUCCCGUUUGACACCUGAGUAAAGAAAUCUUUAAGGAAGCACUAGAAGUUUUACCAGAAUUGCUGAGCUUCAAAUAACUUUCACACCUAGUUGUAAACCAUCAUUACAUCUCACUUUCACUUAGUCCACUAUUAUAUUCGUAGUAAUUCAGAUGUGCAAAUUAAUGCAAGCUCCAAACGAGAAAUAUCUGACGGCUGUCGAGCAUAUCCUUCAAUUGCUCGAGGAUACAAUUACAUGGGAGUUUGUUUUGCUUGAAACCAGGCUCACUUGAUCUUUCUGAAAUGAUGAUGCUGAUUGGGUUGGGUUAAGUGAUCCACCAAAGGAUUCUGCAUUUUUCUUCGCCCAAGUACCAUCUUAUGGCCAUCCUAUUUUUAAGGCACUCAUGGGGGCUGGAAAAUUUCAACGUGCAGGACUCCAAGACUCUUGGAUUAUAACUAGAGUGGAUUAAUAAUUAAAUAUUGACCACUAUUAGAGUCUUAAUUAUUAAUUUAUGUUGUUAUAAUGACAAGUCAUAUAUAUGAUGAGAAUAAGGCUCGUCAUUACAAAUUCAUGCUGUUUAUGGAGUUAAAAUGUUUUUAAAAUUUCAAAUCUUUGUACCAGCUAAUAAAAGUACCAGCCGUUAAACCUUGCUAUAUGAUGAGAUUUAUUUAGAUAAAUAUAAAGUCAAGGGUCUAUUUGGCGUCACUUUCUUAUUUUUAUUUUUAAAGAUGAAAAAAUAUUUCUAAGACAGAAAACACAUUUGGCAUAAUUUUAUUUUUUUAAAAAUAAUUUUACUACUUCUCGAAAAAAUGAAAUUGAGAUAUUCUUUCUUUCAAUAUUUUCAAAAAUAAAAAAUUAUAUUAUACCAUCAUCUAAGCAUCAUCGUCAUCACCUUCACCACUACCAUCAUAACUGCCUCACCAUCUUUGCUGCCAUCAAUCCCAUGAUUAUUAUUGUCACCACAUCAAAUACCAACUUUCCAGCUACCAACUUUUCAGCUACUAACACCGUCAUUAUUGCCUCCACCAAUUCCACUACUGCCGCAACUAUCCUAAAGCUGCUUCCAUCAAGACCAUAAUUACCAUAACAACUAUUGUUACUGUCUCUGCUAAGACACUAUUGUCCCCCAUAUUACUACCACUAUUCACCACCAAUAACAUCAUGGACAUCGCUGCAUCAAUUAACACCAUCACCGUCUCACCACUAUUACUGCCGCAUACCACUGAUAUCACUAUCAAUGUGCCACUUUCACAUCUACCACCAUCACUGUCACAUUUAUAUUUUAAAAAUAAUUAAGUAUGCCAAGCAUAUUUAUAUUUUUAAAAUUAAAAAAGGGAAGUGAUGCUAAUUUUAAUAGCAAAGUGAUCCCAAAGUUAGCACUCAUCUACAAGCCUGGGUACAUCUGCGAGGAAUGAUGACUAAAAAUUAGUAAACAGGGAAACUCACUGAUGCCGUAUGACAAGGAAUAUUACAAAGAAAAUUACUAGGCAUAAUCCACCUUUUCCCUCCAUCCCCGUGUCGUUGUUGCGAUUGUCAACCAGGUGCAAGCGAACCGCAAAAAUAGCAUAAAGAAUAAGCAAUUAAGCAAGGGAUGGAUGCUCAUCGCCCUUCUGCUUGUUUAUGGAUGACCGCUCGUGAUUGCACGCAGGAACUUGAAGAGUCUGCAUUUUGACGCUGCCUGGAUGAACCCAUACUCAUCAUGCAUGAAAUCGUAACUCCGUCUGCCUCACCGAAAAAAUGAUAAAAACAAAAAUAAAUAAUAAAAAGCACACAGUGGAUCACUCAUUUUUAAACACGUCAAAAUUCGUAAACUGGCUAUGUGUCAGUACUUGGGCUGUCGGGCAUGUUUCAAUGCAUUUACAAGAACUAAAAGGCUAGAUGUCUUCAUAUUUCAAAAAGCAGGUGGUCCCCAACUUGAGGGCAUGGAUGUCCAUAAGGCAGAUCUUACGUGUAAUCAUAGUUAGAUUUCUUAUAAAUUGCCAUCGCAUCCUCCAAGCUUUACUUUGGCAAGUGUGAACAUGCUUCCACCUAAGGCCAGAUUUUUCAUUUUAUGCAAGUGGUUAACAAUGCUAGUGAGACAACCUGGCUAGAUCACAAAUUGGUAAUAGAAGAUGAACCAGCCCCAGUCAUACAGAUUAAGCUGCAUAUCCAAAUGGUCAGUCAUCACAGAUAUUCUCUUGUCAAACAUCUAUUGGAAGACAAACUCCUACAUUACAAAGAAGACAAACUUUUUCUAUCAAAAAAAAAAAAAGAGGACAAACUUUGAAUUCGCUUUACCGGCAAAUGAAACAGAGAUCAGUCCGGUAGACUAGAUGAAUGGUGCCCACUGUACUAGCAAUCCGAGGGUAGGGGAACUGGUGGUGCUUCCCAAUGGCAAACCAUGCAAAGAGAGAGUAUCUCAAGAUGUACAGACUGAAUUUGUACAAGAGAGAGCAUAAUGGAGUACUCCAGAUGGUAAAAAGGUUCGUCAAAAUUCUUUUGCAACGCUACAAACUUUGGCCAAACAAGGAAUAUUUAAGUGCUAUUUAUUUCAAAGGAAUAACUUCAUCUGCUUGUUUACAAACCUUCAUUCACGACUAGGUAACUUUUGACAUCAUCUCUAAUCUCUUUUAAGAUAUUCGAACAAUCUCUCGUCAACCCAUAACCCUGUUGGCUCCAGGCACUCCAGUGUCUCCAUGAUUGAAGCUUUGGAGCUGUUCGGCUUGAGAGAUUUUCCACAGGCCAAGGCCAUGCAACCAAGCCUAUCACUAUAAUAUGAGAAUUGCAAACCACAAGUUACAGGCGCGUGAAGCUUCCAUGGCAACCCAAUUGUAACCGGUAAAAAGAAUAAUAAGCUUCAUCCAAGGGCUUUCCAACAUUUACAUGAAAAAUCAAUUAGGUUGCAACCAGAAAGCACGCUGAAGGAUGAUUAUAUUAGGGAUGAUACAUUCAAGCAAAGCAGGCUCUCCAUCGGUAGCUGGACAUCCCUAGCUUCACAAGCAACCACACAAACAGCAUUAAGAGAAAUAUCAAGAAUAUCAGAUGUGAAAACAAGUUAGGAUGCAACAUGUUGACUUCCUGUAAAAACCAUGUGAUUCAAGGAGUGAAAUAUCAAGUCCUGGUGGUGUGCCAACCUUGCAUUGAUAUGUCACAUGCCAUGCCGAGCCAGGCCAUUCGUUGGUGCACACACUGGCACCACAGCAUGCCCAAGUAUCGGCAGUCAACUAAUACGUGUUAGUGUCAUGUGCCAUUAAGGCAUUGGCAUAUGCAUCGUGCAGUGCCAUGCUGAAUGGCACUCAAGUCCAUCUAUGAUUCAGAUAUCUGGGGCAUGUCUGCACAUCUCAUCACCAUGUUCAUGAAAUAUCUUUUGUGCAGACGAGAAUUGCUAAGCACAGAAUUGGAUGGAAGAGACGUGAGAAGUGAUUGGUGGAGGCAAUUUUUCCUCAAACUCAGGUUUCUGGGUACGAAAUUAUGCCUAAUAUGAUGAUUUAAGAUAAUCCUGAAAAAUCAUUUAAGACUCCAGGAUUUUUGGCCUCCCAUAUUCUCUCCAUGCUUUCCCACUUGUAGUGGAAAGAUCCCAUGGAUAAACAUUGUUAGACAUCCAAUUUGGCUCUAAAAUUGUUAGCAGAUUUGAAACACACCAACCUUUCAGAAACCGAUGUUCAUAAUCAUCUGGGCUGCACCACUCUGUAAUUGAGCACCAAAUCUUCAGACUUCUUCCAUAUGUAAGUUCUGACAGUGGCCAAACUCAUUUCAGGUGAUAAGACCUACAUCACAAGGAACUGCAUUAGAAGUAGAUGAAAAGGGCAAAAAAAAAAAAAUCUAUAAACAACAGAUAGAGAAUGAAGACAAUUUUCAGCUCACUAUUUUCAAAACUUCACCCUUUUUUAAAGGGAAUUCAAACAUGCACCUUUACAAGCCCAAUACAUAGUUCUGAGAGAGGAAGGGUUACCAACCCGCACUUAAUAAACCAAGUUCAGAUUUUCGGGAUACACCACCAAGAAUCAAAGCCAGAACCUCUUGUUGCUAAGAAGAUAGGUGUGACCAAUGGGGCAACCCCAGUUUACAAACCCAAUAGAGACUAUAUAGUUCAAAAUGUAACCAUUUUUCAUAUACUAUAUUUACUCUGCAGCAUGUUCCUAUUCUAGUUUUUUUGGGAAUGAAUUGUCAACGAACUUCAAACUAAAUGCCAAAGUUAAAAGAACAAACUAUGUUGAUGUGCUCUCCAAAUGCCUUAAUGGGUAAUCAUAUAUAUUCCAUGAUAUGGUAAUACUUUUGACAACUCAUGCUAACUCUAUAUUAACAACAUAAUCAUAUUAUAAGUAGAAGCCAAGGAUGAGAAAUGAAAAUGAAUGAUAAGCCAAAAAAUCAACACAGAAUAGACUAAACCAAAAUUGCUACAAACGUUGAUAGCAGAAGCACUUUAUCAUAAGCACAUAAGCAAUUUUAGUUUGGCACUUUAUCUAAAUCUAGUUUGGUACUUGAGUUCAUGUCCAUAUUUGACCAAUUCUGAUACAUAAGCACAUUCAGCCAGAGUUUAUCCAUCCAGUUUCCAAUGCUAGCAACCAAGAAAAUAAUAAGUAUCACGCUUGUGGCAAACAAUCUCACUAUUCAAUUCUAGAAUAGAGAAGCCCCAAGAUGCCAAUUUGUCUCACGUUUGCUGUUAAUAAACUCAUGGCUUUCAGUCCUAGAACAGAAAACAAAACCUUACAAUUCCAUUCUGGACAGUUUCUCCGAACUUGCCUGAUUAUUGCACAAGAUUUCUAUAGAUGGCUUUAGCUUUUGCCAUGGCUUUAUCCCUGACCGCAAGUAACCAUCUGCAAUGGAUGAAAGCUGUGAUUGCCCGGUACUCAAUCCUAAACCAAAUGAUCCAUCAGAGCUACCAGCAUCAGUUGGUUUAUCAAGAACCAUUUUUUCGAUCACAUAGUUUAUCACCUACAGUGUAAAGAAAAGGCACCUGUCAACAACAAAACUAAGAGAUGCACAGGAAGUUAACAUACAAAAAUUAACCUAUUGGAAAAAUCGGGAAAAAGAGUGACUUCUCAUAGAAAGGGGAUAAGAAAAGGUCAUAUUAAGUAACAUGCUCAUAUUCAGAAUUAUCACAAGCUGAUAGCGUGCAUGAAACAAACAUGAGAAUUGCAAAGCCUUUUAGAUUUCCCAUGAACUAUUGCUAAAAAAUAUGAAGCUUAAUUGAUAAAGUUAAGAUGCUCCAGUUUUAGACAUAAUUUUCCCAAACAAGAUGGUCUAGGAAAUUAAGCUGGAUAAAUAACUCGGGCAACAGAUCUUAUGAGAAUGUAGCCAAUGGGUGCUUAACAACUAAGGAAACCAACUGACUACUUACUUUGUGUAUCCGCAAUAUCCGUGGAGCACUCAAUUUCCCCUGUGUGUGGAUUUGCACAUUCGAACCUUCACAAGGUUGCAAAUAAAAACUACACCUGCAGGGGAGAGAAAAUAGUCAAGAUCACUAAAGAAUGAAGUCAAGAUAACACUUGCCAAAGAAAGUUCAAUGUAACCUUUCUCUUUAAUUCUCGUUCCAGGAAGGUGGGUGGUACCUUUAAUAAAGACUAUACUACUAUCAUUGUCUCCACCUAUGUUUAGCAAAACAGCCAUAACCAAAAAUCUGAAGUCAGAGCAAAAUAUUAAAAAGAACAGCAAAAUCUAGGAUGUUGAAACCUGGAGGCUAAAACUAAACAGACGCCAUUAGCAUGGUCAAAAUUUUAAAUCCUGUGGGAUAGGGCUGUUCCGAUUUUCCGAUAGCAUGGGAUGUACUGCCAUCCCAUCCUAUUCUGAUAUUUGGGACAGAAGAUGUCCCAAGACAUCCCGAUUAGAACGCUAGAAUGCUAACGGGAUGACCCUAUCAAGAUUUUAAAUCCUAUGUGAUGGAGGUGUCCCGAUUUUCCCAUAGAAUUGGAUGCCCCAAUGUCCCGUCCUGUCCCGACAGCAGUCCCGAUCAUGUGACCUAAUAGAUAUCCUCCAUCUCUCUCUCCUGAUUCUUUUCUUUUUUCUUUUCUUCUUUUUCUUCUACCUUUCUUUCUUUCCUUAUCCCUUCCUUUCUUUCAUUUUUUUCUUUUUCUUUCUUCCUUUCUUUUUCUUCUCUUCUUUCUUUCAUUUUUAUUCUUCUUCUUUCCUUUCACUUUUUUUAUUUUCUUCAUCUUUCCUUCCUUUUUUUUUCUUCUUCUCUACCUGUGUGGAUGGGUUUUGGAGUUCCGACCCUGUCCUAAUCCCAUUUUUUCACAAAAACAGAACGAGAUGGCCAGGAUGCCCUCCGUCCCGCUGGGACAUAAAACCUUGGACCCUAUCCUAACACAUGAGAUAGUACCCCGUCCCGGUGUCCCACGGGGCAUCCUGCUCAGAACUGAAUCUUUAAGGAUGGUUACCCCUUAAUAACUGAGCUAGUUGGAUACCAGGCUAAGAUACUGACUAUAGAUUAUGGUGCUAGAAAUGUGGACAAGUUGGGAUUUUACGAAAGGGAAAGAUUAAGUCAAGUUUGGCAAAUAAAGUUAUAUAUAUUUUUCAUAACAUUUGUAAGCGAUCUAUCUUGUAGACUGUCUAAUAAUUGAAUUAAGCACAUCCAACAUUACAGAAAACAUUAGAUAAAACAAGAGUUUAUGAAAAGAAGCAGUGGACUAAACUGCGCAUAUAAAUGAAAAUUUAGAUUCUUAUACACUUUUGUCAAAAACUUCCUCUUAGGCUCAGUUGUCAUGACACACGCUCAUAUAGAAAGAUCUUGCAUGUGUAAAUACACUAAUAACUUAUAUCAUACUAGCCUCAAAAUACAAUAUCUAGAUCUUGUUUCUCUUUCCUAGACAAGAAACAUGUCUACAAAAAUCAUAUUAACUGGGGUAAGCAUCACGAAGGCAGCGGUGAAGAAUGAAAGCAGUAAAGCAAGCGGAUUUUUUACCACAAUAAUGUUAUUUUUAAAACAAUUUACCAAAAUAAUGUCUUUUCAAAAGUAUUUACCAAAAUACUGUCCGAGGCAAAAUCGCCCUAUCAUAGGGCGACUUUCUGUACUGACUCAGCACGCCCAACGUCAGGUUAGGUGGAUACGUUGGACAACAAAAUUGCCUUAUGAUAAGGUCACUCAUAGAAUCGCUUUGAGUCGCCCUCUCAUAGAGCGACUUAACAUGACUUAGCCAAAAAAAAAAACCCAACCUCCCUCUUCUCCGACGCGAGAAACCCCCAAUCCCCGGCAGCCUCCCUCCUCUCGGCCUGCCCCCCUCCCUUUUCUUCCCCGGCACGAGAACCCUCCCUAGUCAGUUGAGUUUUGGUAAAUGUCUUAAAAUUUCUUGGAGGGAGGGCUGUCGGGGAUUGGAGAGGGUUCUCGCACCAAGGAGGAGGGAGAGGGGGGGCAGGCUGAGAGGAGAAAGGGCCAUCAGGGACCGAGGGGUUCUCACAUCGGGGAAGAGGGAGGUUGGGGUUUUUUUCUUUUUUUGGCUAAGUCAUGUUAAGUUGCUCUAUGAGAGGGCGACUCCAUCUUAAGGCGACUCUAUAAGUCGCCCUAUCAUAAAGCGAUUUUUGUUGUUCAACGCGUCCACCCAACCUGACAUUGGACGUGCUGAGUCAGCACAGAAAGUCGCCCUAUCAUAGGGCGAUUUUGCCUCCGACAAUAUUUUGAUAAAUACUUCUGAAAGGACAUUAUUUUGAUAAUUAUUUUAAAAAUAGCAUUAUUUUGGUAAAAAAUCCAAAGCAAGCAGAUAGGUUUUUUUAGGUAAAUUCAUAUCAAGCAUGCAUGGUAUGUUUUCCAAACAAAAGUGUUGUACGGGGACAGCCAAAGGAUUGGAUCAUGCAAGGCAAAAGAAAAGUGCUUAGGUGGAUGUCGAGGUAUAUAAUAGUUAGAUAAUAUUCAAAGAUUAUUAGAAAUCAAUAAGCAUAUAAAACAAGAGUAUUAAAAAAUAAAUCAGAACUAAACGAAAAAAAAUAUGGGGAUCAUCAUCGAUAAUUUUAUAAAAUGUAGUUAAAAAAUAAAAAUACUGACCGUUAUAAACAUAAUGCAAUAAGCAACUUAACAAAAUGAUGAUAAACAAUAUAGAAUUAGAAUGAGAACUGUUAGAUGUAUGUCCUAGAAGCUAAUCGGGCUGACACAUUAAUUCUUUCUAGGACAUAAUUUCGUACUUAAUCUAAUUAUUUAGGAUAGUUAAUUACUAUUCAUGUAGUGUAUGUGUCCAUGAAUCGUCCAAUGAAUUAACAAGAUAAUGACACAUAUUCUCAAGAGUUGAGAAUUUAAGGCAUGUGUCAUUGGUGGUUAAUUCAUAAACUGCUCCCGAUCAUAGAAUCAUCACGAAGAUGGUGAUUGAUUCAGAUAGAUUGGUGUAUGGAUCACUUCUUUAUGGAUAGAUGAGUCUCGAAUCUACAGUAUGGGGACACUGAACGAAAGUGCAGGCACUUGUUAGAGAAUAAGAGUGCUAAGCGUGACCAACACGAAAAAUCAUUUGGAUGUCUACUCACUCGUCGGUAACAUUCUCGAUGCUGUAAUAGGAUGAAUGGUACUUUGACCUGCGAUGCUUCUACUAUUCACAAUGAAGUUGCUGUAGUUUGACUACACCAUAACUUAGUCUCCUAACCAUAUAAAGUCUUGAGGUAUAUAUUGGCUGCAAUAGGUUUAUUGUAGAAAUAGGAUGUGUAUCUAGAUGGGAUCUAUCGAUCUUAAUAGAAAAGGAGAAUUUUUAUGCGAUUCACGAGACUGAGUUCAAAAAAUCUUUGACCAAAGCAAGUAUGAAUACUAAAAAAGAGUUUUCACAAAAAUUUACAAGUGAACUCGAAUCGAGCCAAUCUUGCAUAUGACAGACGAUUAGAUUUGACGAAUUUUUCAUCACCUCCAUCUUAUCGAAACUCAUGAUAGAAGAACUUAAUCACACGGUAACUACACCUAGUGGUUUAUUACUUCUAUUCUGCUGGUUGCCACUACAUACUGCUAGGUGUCACUGGUAGAUCGUGAGACUCGUCGAAUGUCAUCUUGAUGAUCGAUGACCCUUGAUGGACAGAGUUGAAAUUGUUCCAAUCCAUUGAAAGGAGUUUCAAUGAUAUUUUGAUGGAGAUCAAAAUAUAUCUGAAUACCAGACAGAAUAGUACUUAUGGGAUCACACAUAAAGAGUAACUAACUGAUCGGAAUGUCGAAUAGCGAUUUUGAAUCGCAAAAGAAUCCAAUUAUCAAUGUGAUUGAUGAUUGGACUAAUAUGUAAAAGUUAUAUGAAGAACUUGCUAAAAGUUAAUAAGUUAUAGGAGGAUCGAAAAGAGUCCCACUGUACUGGAACUCUAGAGUCCCAAUGGACUGGGACUCUAUCAAAUUGCAAUUAUUGCUAAUUAUUUGAUUUGAUCAAAUAUGGGCUGAAGUAAAUCAGAUUGGAUCUGAUUAGAUUUGAUUUAAUUUGAAUUUUUCAAUUCAAAUAGGAUUAGGACUUAAUUCCUAAUUGAGUUUGACUCAAUUUAGAUUCGAACCGGAUUGAAAUUAAAUUAGGAAACCAAAGUCCCAUUGCAUUGGGACUCUCUCACCUUAUCCACGCAUGGGACGCCCAACCAAAUUACCAGAAGAAUAUUAUGGCGUGGAGAAAAAGUGGGGCGCAAAAAGGAUGGGGCGGUGGAAAGAGAAGAGUCCUCUUUUAAGGACUUUAACCAACUCCAUCUAAAUCCUAACCUAACCCUAAUUGUUAGGGAUAAAAAGCGGGCACCUCUCAUCAGAUCACAUGGUGAUUAUGAUGCUUGGUAUGGCAUGAAGACAAGGGGAAAAAGGGAUGCGUGCGUGAGGAAGCUAGGAAGCAAAAUCAGAUUGGCAUGGUGAGUUUGUUAGGCUUCAUGUCAAGCAUGCAUGGUAUGUUUUCCAUACAACAAGUGUUGCAUGGGGACAGCCAAAGGAUUGGACCAUGCAAGGCAAAAGAAAAGUGCUUAGGUAGAUGUUGAGGUAUAUAAUAGUUAGGUAAUAUUCAAAGAUUAUUAGAAAUCAAUAAGCAUAUAAAACAGGAGCAUUAAAAAAUAAAUCAGAACUAAAGGGAAAAAAAAUAUGGGGGUCAUGAUUGAUAAUUUUAUAAAAUGUAGUUAAAAAAAUAAAAAUACUGACUGUUAUAAACAUAAUGCAAUAAGCAACUUAACAAAAUGAUGAUAAACAUUAUAGAAUUAGGAUAGGAACAACUUGUCAAAAAUUAGUAAAAUUUGUAAAUUGUAACCAUUGGUACUAGUCAGACAAAGGAGGUCAUAACUUGCUCAUUAGACCCACCUAACAUCCCAAACUACCCCAGCAUAACCCCUGUUAUCCAUCUCCCCGAUAGAUACACACAAGCGCGCACAUGCAUUUGCAGCAAAAUGGAAAACUUACCAAGGCUGGCUAGGCUUGUCAAGCCUCUUGAGCACAUACAAGGUAUCAUGCCACAUAUAGGAACCACCUAGGAGAUCCACCUAACAUCCCAAACUACCCUCACAUUUCCCCUGCCCUCGACCUCCGCAACACACACACGCGCGCGCACGCACAUAUACAUGCUGUAAUACCCAACCCACUAACCCACCAAGAAAAAAGGCCCAAAUAAAAGCAAAAAAAAAAGGGCUCCACAAGACUUUUAAACCACAAAAAAAAAGAAAUGGAAGGAAGAAGACUCCCAAUGAGUCUUCUUCUCCCAAAAGGACUUGAUCAGAGCCAAAAAUCGUAAGCUCCCCUCUAUAAGAUGGAACCCCACACCCUUCCAUGACCAUCCACCGCUGAAUCCCUCUUCCUCUCCUUGUUUCUGCCUCUUUCUUCUUUUCUUUUCAUGAUCGACCAUCACCGUGCACAACGAAACCAGUGGCCCAAACAUCACUAAGAACAAGGUAAAUCUCUCAAGAAACCUUCCUUCCAAUUCUCCUUGAUUUAUAGGCUGAGAUUUCAAUGGAUUGUUACCGAUUUUCCUUGGGAAAAAUCGGAUUUCAAAUGCUCUAUUUUUUCCCUUUCGUGUUGCUUUGAUUUCGGUGCCAUCCAUCACUAUUGAUCACCGAACUAGGGACCAAUGGCCGCAUCAUCAUGGAUCACACCCCUAGCCAUCAUCUCUAGGCAAGACCCCUUGAGUUCAGGGGAGAAGGGGACUCAAAUAAGAUCCCUUGUUUGCCUAAACAAAAAAAGAAGCAGAAGACAGGAAAAAAAAAAGAAAAGAAAAAGGAAAAAAGGAGAGAGAGAAAGAGAGAGUUUCUCUCUCUUCCCUCUUCCUCUCACCUUUCUCUCUCUUUCCACUUUCUAUCUCCACUUUCUCUCUCUAGUUUUCCUCUCUACUUUCUCUCUAUACAAUAUUCUCUCUAAAAUUAUUUCUCUAUGAAAUUUUAAGAUUAGUUCAAUGAAGGAUUUUUUUCAAUAAUUUUGAUCGAUCUUAGUGAAGGGUUCCAAUCUGCCACCAUCGAACAGCAUGCCGAUACCCAUCUUGAUCAAACUAAAUACCAUUAGAUUUGAUCACCCAUGAUAUUUAUUCAACCAUCUCUAUAUUAGUUUAACCAUGAUUUGAUGAAAUCACUUUGAUCGAAUCGAUCGGAAUGUCGGACAGUAUCGCCUGAUCAACCUUAUUCCAUCUUGUUAAUUUUUCUCCUCUGAUAUUCUCUCUCUACUUGAUUUAUGAACCCAAUGAAGCAUCCCGGACCAACUCAAAUCGUUGAAUGCAAUUAUCCAUGAAUCAUAUCUUUCUUAAUUAUCCAUAUUUUUUCGAAUUAAUGGACUUAAUUCUAUGUAGGGAUAUAGUCAACUCGACAAAAAGAUGUCCAAUAGUGGGAUAUUACAAUAUGAUUUAUGAAUUAAAGAUUUUGAAAAAAAAAUUAUAAAAUUAUGUGGACUUGCUAGAAUACGUAUGAGAUAAGUAAUGCUGCACUUGUUUUAGAUUUAUCGAUAUAUUAUAAAAAAAAAUUAUUGAAUUAUUUAUGAUUUAUGAAUCUGAUGUACAUAUUUUGAAUUAUCGAAUAUAUCUUUUUUUUCAAAAUAUUAAGUGAUUUAUGAUCGAAUGUAUUGAAUUUGAUAUGAAUCAUACUAAUAGAUUUCGAUGUCAUAUGGUUUUAUGAAUUAUUUGAUUUGAAAUAUGAAAUAUGCUUUUAAAGAAAGCACAUUGAUUUGAGAUGAAUUUUGACUCACAGUCGGACUAUGUAUCGAACUCCACCAGUAGGCGUUAAAUGCUAGUACUAUGAUAUCUUAUCAAUGGGACAAUUAAAUACUGAUACUUUGAUACUCUAUCAAUGAGAGUUGUGCGCUGGUAUUUUGAUACUCUACCAAUGAAGCGGUUAAACAUUGAUAAUUUGAUACCCUGUCAAUGAGGGUUAUGCGCUGGUACUUUGAUUUAGUUCAUGGCUGUCAAAAUGAACACGAUGUUUUAAAAAAAAAUCAAUUUAUAAACGAAAAUGAAUUCGCAUGGAUCAUAUUUUGAUUAGUGCUGUAUAUUUUGAAUGGAUGCAUAUGCAUGCUUUUUUAGCAUAUUAUUACUGCUUAAUUUAUCUAGCUAAAGUAUACACAACUUACUAGUUGUUUAGCUCAUUACUCUAUAUUUACUAUUUUUACAAAUUCAGAAGACUAGAUUGACUUGAAGAUUCAUUAUGGAAGAAAGAACUAAAGACAAUUUGAUAUUUUUAUUUUAGAUUAGGAUUUAUUGAAAUUUGAUGCACUAUGAAAAAUUAUUUUGCAAGACAUUUUAUUAAGUCAUUUGAACUAAAGUUGAAUGUUAAUUAUUUGAAUUUUGUUCCAUUAUUUCUUUAUGAUAUCGUGAUGAGAUAUCUUGUAUGCUUGUGGAAAGAGUUCUCCAUAAGUAUGCCGUGGUUGCCGUGACCCUUUGACUCGCGAUCUCGAAUCGAGAGCAUGACAAUUAAUAUGAUAUCGGAGCAUAAGUGGAUAAAUUAUUAAACAUAGAAUAAGACAUAGGAUGAGUGUAGAUAGAUAGACACUAGGGACAUCAAAAUAUAGAUCUAUGAUGAUUGCAGCAUACAUUAUCUUCAUGAUUUUUGACUAACCCUUGUGAUGAUGAAUGAAAAGAUUGCUUAGGAAUAAUACUUCAGAGGGUUUGAUAUAUGAUGGAUAAUCCGGGAUAAUGCUAUGAGUAAUUGGAUUUUGAUCUGAAGUAAUUGCAAGAGGAUUGGUCAUGAAAUUUUAUUGUGCAUUGUGAUUAUUAAUUUAAUCAUCAAUUGUUUAAAUGAAUUGCAAGCUCAAAUUUGAUAUGGGAGUAUACCGUAAUAUUGCUUAGUUUUGAAAUUUAUUAUUUAGUGACAAGCUAGGGUUUAUUUGCAAUAAUGUGUAAAAUACUGGACUAAAAAAAAUUUUAUGAUAUCCGAUUAGAAUAUUCUUCAAAGCCAAACCUGAUACAUGGAUCAUAUAUAAACCGGCAUAUAAGAGGAAUAUACAUCUGAGAAUAUUGCAAAUAAUUAUGUUCUUAAUGGAAGGAAAUCGAUUUUGUUUGAGGUUAUAGAGUAUUCAUCUUGGUGGAUCAUUAAUAGUUUUAGUUACCAUCUUUAGAUCCAAAUAAUAGAUCUUGUUUAUGACUAUUAGAGACUAUAUGGCAUGUAUGAAACUUCAAUUCAAGAUAUGGGUUUAUAAAUUGAUCUAGAGUUUCUUUUUGCCAUUAUUAUUGAGGUCCGUGUUAAAAUCUAGUAUGUCAUGGAGAAUUUGAUUUCAAAAGGUUUGCAUGAUUACUGUGGAGAAAGUAUUUGCUAGAUAUUAAAGUACUUGAGGAAAAGAACUCUAGAAAAGAUAAUUGAAUCAGUUUUACAUAUGUGUUUUGAUUUAAGUCAUAACUUGGUGGAGCAAUCAAAAUGUUUUUCUUAUUGAUUUUACUUACAGGAUUUUAUUUUGGAAUUGUCUAAUUGAAUUGACAAGAGAACUAAGAUUUGAUCCAUAUCGAAUUACAGUAAACCUAUACGAUGGUUUGAAUGUGUUAACAAACUCAGGGGAUGUGUUCGAUGCAUAUUGGGGACAAUAACUUAUAUUGACUGUGAUAUAACUUAGAAAUCUAUAUUUGACAUCAAUAUGUUGAUGGAUUUAAAUCAAAGUACUCAGUAGAAACAUAAUGGUCUGAAUUAUGUUUAAGCUAAUCAAAACAAUAAUUUCAUUUGAAAGAUGAUGUGAUGAAAUACUUGUUUUUAGGAUUAGAUAAUAACUUGAGGAAGUAAUUCCAAACUUUUAAGAACUUGAGCAAGAAAAAUUUCAAGAAUAAAAUUUCUUUUUAAGAAGGGAAAAUGUAAUACCCAAUCCAUUAACCCACCAAGAGAAAAGGCCCAAAUAAAAAGGGCUCCGCAUGACUUUUAAAGCACCAAAAAAAGAAACGGGCAGAAGGAAACUCCAAUGAGUCUUCUUCUACCAAAAGGACUCGAUUGGAGCCAAAAAUCCUAAGCACCCCUCUAUAAGAUGGAACCCCCCUCCUUCCACGGCCAUCCAUCGUUGAAUCCCCCUUCCUCUCCUUGUUUUUCUCCCUCUUUCUUCUUUUCUUGUUCCCAAGCAACCAUCAACGUGCCUAAUGAAAUCAAUGGCCCACACAUCACUAUGAACAAGAUAAAUCUCUUAUGAAACCUUCCUUCCAAUUCUCCUUGAUUCAUAGAUUGAGAUUUCAGUAGAUUGUUACCAAUUUUCCUUGAAAAAAAUUGGAUUUCAAAUGCUCUAUUUUUUUCCCCUUCGAGGUUGCUUUGAUUCCGCACCAUCCGUCGACAUUGAUCACCAGACCGAGGACCCAUGGCCACACCGCCAUGGGUCGCACCCCCGGCCAUCAUCUCUCAACAAGAGUCCCCUUGAGUUCAGGGGAGAAAGGAGUUCAAAUAAAAUCUCUUGUGUUGCCUAAACAAAGGAAAAAGAAAAAAGAAAAGAAAAGAAGAAAAAAGAAGAAGAGAAAGAAAGGGAAAAAAAAGGAGAUAGAGCUUCUCUCUUCCCUCUUCCUCUCACCUUCCUCUCUCUUCCUACUUUCUCUCUCUAGUUUCUCUUUCUAUAAUAUUUUCUCUAAAAUUCUCUCUAUAAAGUUCUCUCUCUAAGAUUAGUCCAGUGAAAGAUUUUUUUUUUCUAUGACUUUGAUUAAGCUUUAGUGAAGGGUUUCGAUCCACUAUCGUCAGACAGUGUGCCGACAUCCAUUUUGGCCAGACUAAAUACCAUUAGAUUUGAUCACCCAUGAUAUUUAGUGAACCAUCUGUACACUAGUUUAACCAUAAUUUAUUGAAAUCACUUUGAUCGAAUCGAUCGAGAUAUCAGACAGUAUCACCUGAUCAAUCCUAUUUUAUCUUGUUAAUUUUUCUCCUCUGACAUUCUCUCUACUUGAUUUAUGAACCCAAUGAAGUAUCCUGGACCAACUCAAACCAUUGGAUGUGACUAUUCGUCAAUAAUAUCUUUCUUAAUUAUCCAAUUCUUUUUAAUUAAUGAACUUAAUUAUGUAUAGAAGUAUAGUCGUCUCGACAAAAAGAUAUCCAAAAGUGGAUUAUUGCGAUAUAAUUUAUGAAUUAAAAAUUUUGAAAAAAAAUUAUGAAAUUAUAUAGAUUUGAUGGUGUGCGUAUGAAGUAAUACUGUACCUUUCUCUAGAUUUAUCGAUAAAUUAUAAAAUAUUUUUUAUUGAAUUAUUUAUAAUUUAUGAAUCUGAUGCAUGUAUUUUGAAUUAUCGAAUAUAUUCUUUUUUCAAAAUAUUAUGUGGUUUAUGAUCGAAUGCAUUGAAUUUGAUAUGAAUCAUAUUGAUAGAUUUCGAAUAUUGCAUGGCUUUAUGAAUUAUUCAAUUUAAAAUAUGAAAUAUGUUUUUAAAGAAAGUAUAUUAAUUUGAAAUGAAUUUUGACUCGC
RNAcentral lists this long non-coding RNA (26895 nucleotides) under Elaeis guineensis (African oil palm). RNAcentral's name for it is "long non-coding RNA (EGUI_LNC036042)". Lineage: Eukaryota; Viridiplantae; Streptophyta; Magnoliopsida; Arecales; Arecaceae. The record is from RNAcentral.